AAAGUGUUUUAAGUGCAGAUCAAGAAGGGCAUCUGUUCUUAUCAGUUUAAUAUAAUGAUACGUCAGAAAUAGGGGGACCGUCUAUAUUAAAUGGAUUUGUGGAAGCGGGAGAUGGAAGCGGGGCUUGCUCCGUCCACUCCACGCAUCGACCCGGUAUUGCAGUACCUCCGGGAACGGUGUAUGGGUG
This is a small nuclear RNA of Polyodon spathula (Mississippi paddlefish), 187 nucleotides long. RefSeq annotates it as U2 spliceosomal RNA. NCBI's taxonomy places the organism in Eukaryota, Metazoa, Chordata, Actinopteri, Acipenseriformes, Polyodontidae. The transcript has a single exon. The record is from RefSeq and is a predicted model, not a curated record.